CAUGGCUCAGGAUGAACGCUGACAGAAUGCUUAACACAUGCAAGUCUACUUGAAUUUGGGUUUUUUAACUUCGAUUUGGGUGGCGGACGGGUGAGUAACGCGUAAAGAACUUGCCUUACAGUUAGGGACAACAUUUGGAAACGAAUGCUAAUACCUGAUAUUAUGAUUUUAGGGCAUCCUAAGAUUAUGAAAGCUAUAUGCGCUGUGAGAGAGCUUUGCGUCCCAUUAGCUAGUUGGAGAGGUAACAGCUCACCAAGGCGAUGAUGGGUAGCCGGCCUGAGAGGGUGAUCGGCCACAAGGGGACUGAGACACGGCCCUUACUCCUACGG
Molecule: ribosomal RNA, 329 nt
Filed under: uncultured bacterium
Lineage: Bacteria
Description: bacterial SSU rRNA
Rfam family: Bacterial small subunit ribosomal RNA
Source: RNAcentral